ACAUAAUGGCACCAUUAUAUCGUAACGUAUAAUAGGAAUGCCAUAUGCCCGCACCUUAAAGGUUUUUUAUUUCUAUAAGCACCAUUAAGCCAUUAUUGCACCAUAGGAAUGCCGGGUCAAGUAUUUUGAAUAUCUAAUUCGCACUAUUUUACAUUCGAUCAAACAAUAUGAAUGCGCCAUAUGCUCAAAUUUCAAAUUCAUAUCUU
Molecule: long non-coding RNA, 206 nt
Filed under: Theobroma cacao (cacao)
Lineage: Eukaryota; Viridiplantae; Streptophyta; Magnoliopsida; Malvales; Malvaceae
Description: long non-coding RNA (TCAC_LNC004256)
Source: RNAcentral